UACAGAGGGUGCGAGCGUUGAUCGGAAUUACUGGGCGUAGAGCGUGCGUAGACGGUUAUUUAAGUCGGGUGUGAAAGCCCCGGGCUCAACCUGGGAAUUGCAUUCGAGACUGAAUAGCUAGGGUACGGUAGAGGGAAGCGGAAUUUCCGGUGUAGCGGUGAAAUGCGUAGAUACUGGGAGGAACACCGGUGGCGAAGGCGGCUACCUGGACAGGUACUGACGCUGAGGUGCGAAAGCGUGGGGAGCAAACAGG
Molecule: ribosomal RNA, 253 nt
Filed under: uncultured prokaryote
Description: partial 16S ribosomal RNA
Rfam family: Bacterial small subunit ribosomal RNA
Source: RNAcentral